GUGCCUUUUGUGCUGUCUCUACAUUCAGAUAGUCUGUUAGUCUGUUUUUCUGGAUGUGUUUUCUUUCUCCGUGUAAUUGAAACUUUCUUGAAGUGUUCAGAAGGAAGAUUGUAUCACUGUGCUCUCCCUGUCAUUAUCUCUGAGAGGGUGCUGAGAAAAGCAGAGAUUCUGAUGUGCUUUCCCACAGCACCAUAUUCUGCAUGAUUAUUUAAUUUAUUCCUUCUGCAAAGACACCAGGCUCAAUAAACCUGAAGGUAUUCUCCUGCCCUGGGAUGUUGUUCUUGCUCAUCUCUCCCUGAGCUUAGAGGAUGAGAAGUGUCAAGGCAGAAAGCUAACUGAUACAUGACAGAGUUUUAAAAUUUUGAGUUUCCUGGAGAAUGCAAAUUGUUUCCUUUUAGUACCUGACAGUGCAACACAAGUAACUUGCCAUGGCAAGCAGCUUAUGAGGCAGAAAAAAGUGAUCAUCACCAGGUGCUUUGUUACUGUCGCAAGGGAAGAGGCUGAGGCCUUGUCCUUUUUGCUCACUGUUGAGCUGCACACCAUCUAGGUAAGCUGUCAGUAGAAGUUUAUGUUGUAUUUGGUGCAAGUUAGCUGAUGCGUGAGCCUCUUUGAUACUUGGAUCAAAACUGAAGUGCAGUCAGAAGGAAAGAAGGAAGUGCUCAGAAGAAUUGAAACAAAGCUGGAUUCUCAGAAGCACAAGGCCUAAUCCAUAUCCGCAACAAGCUGACGCAACUCUGCAGAUGCCAGUUGCACUAAAAGAGACACAGCCACAACAGAUGUUACCAAUGCAUACCAUCAUCCCAAGAGUCUGGGGCUCACAGAGAUACAUAAAACUUGGAACAGAAGUGCAACAGAGAGACCACACAGAGGAAAAAGACCGGAGCGUACUUCUAACAGCUCUCCUGCAGCUAUCAGCACAUGCCAGUGGACUUGUUAUAGCACGUUGAAGGGCGCAUUCUUGCUGGCUCACUGGGGUCUGAUCCAAAGCUUACUGCAGGCAAUGGGGAAGAUUCAUGGACUUCAGUGGCCUUUGGACUGCCCUGUGGACACAGAAGCACAAUGGCUAGGAUCUGCACAGCUGAAAACUCAGCUCAGGAACUGGGAGUUUCUGUUAAACCACUGCAGGAGUUUACCCCAGGGUCUCUUCUACGGUGUUUCAAGUAAAGAGGACGCUGGGAUGGAAUGUUUAGCUCACAGUAUAAUCGCACAGUGA
This 1213-nucleotide long non-coding RNA is filed under the name Numida meleagris (helmeted guineafowl). Its description in RNAcentral is "lncRNA (ENSNMEG00000013456.1)". Lineage: Eukaryota; Metazoa; Chordata; Aves; Galliformes; Numididae. The record is from RNAcentral.